AAUGUCGUAACAAGGUUUCCGUAGGUGAGUAACCUCUAGCUCGUUUUGUGUUUUUGUGAUUUUUUGGCUAAUUUUCAAUUUAGGUGAAUCCUGCGGAAGGAUCAUUACGAGUACUCCUGCUUGCAGGAACUCCCACCCGUGAUCAAUUCCACCGUUGCUUCGGCAAGACGUUGGAAACGGCCAUUCGCCUUUGAAAUUAAUACCGAUGACGAUGUGAGCUUGCGGAGUCUAUACUCUUAAACUAUGUUUAGUCAGAGAAACAGCAAUAAUAAAA
Molecule: unclassified non-coding RNA, 274 nt
Filed under: plant metagenome
Description: partial contains small subunit ribosomal RNA and internal transcribed spacer 1
Source: RNAcentral